AGGUGAACCUGCGGAAGGAUCAUUAGAAAAGUAUGCGCCCACACGGGCAACCUGCGGGCAAGUUGGUAAAACGAGAGGAGGUGUUCGUUUUUUUUUUUUACCCCCAAUGCACUUAUUGAAAAGACCCAAGUCGAAAAAAGAAAAUGGUGAUGGAAUAUUGGUCAAGGCCUUUGUUCAGCAUGCCGAUAUGUGGGUGUUGCAGGAUAAAAACUUCUGCUUACCUGGAAUCAAAUUUUUGGUGGAUAAUCUUUUGGUUGUUCCCUUAAUUAUGGGCUGUGCAAAAAGAGCUUUUUUUUUUUGCUGGCCUUAAAUUUAAAAUUCUUUUUCGACGCCGUAAUAACCUUUGCCUAAAUGUUUGUCUGACCUUUUACUUAUAACGAGUAAAAAAAUUAAUACAACUUUCAACAACGGAUCUCUUGGCUCUCG
This 426-nucleotide unclassified non-coding RNA is filed under the name uncultured fungus. RNAcentral's name for it is "partial contains 18S rRNA, ITS1 and 5.8S rRNA". The record is from RNAcentral. Lineage: Eukaryota; Fungi.